Molecule: ribosomal RNA, 678 nt
Filed under: uncultured Mycobacterium sp.
Lineage: Bacteria; Bacillati; Actinomycetota; Actinomycetes; Mycobacteriales; Mycobacteriaceae
Description: bacterial SSU rRNA
Rfam family: Bacterial small subunit ribosomal RNA
Source: RNAcentral
UGGGCCCGCGGCCUAUCAGCUUGUUGGUGGGGUAACGGCCUACCAAGGCGACGACGGGUAGCCGGCCUGAGAGGGUGUCCGGCCACACUGGGACUGAGAUACGGCCCAGACUCCUACGGGAGGCAGCAGUGGGGAAUAUUGCACAAUGGGCGCAAGCCUGAUGCAGCGACGCCGCGUGGGGGAUGACGGCCUUCGGGUUGUAAACCUCUUUCACUAUCGACGAAGGUUCGGGUUUUCUCGGAUUGACGGUAGAUGGAGAAGAAGCACCGGCCAACUACGUGCCAGCAGCCGCGGUAAUACGUAGGGUGCGAGCGUUGUCCGGAAUUACUGGGCGUAAAGAGCUCGUAGGUGGUUUGUCGCGUUGUUCGUGAAAUCUCACGGCUUAACUGUGAGCGUGCGGGCGAUACGGGCAGACUAGAGUACUGCAGGGGAGAUUGGAAUUCCUGGUGUAGCGGUGGAAUGCGCAGAUAUCAGGAGGAACACCGGUGGCGAAGGCGGGUCUCUGGGCAGUAACUGACGCUGAGGAGCGAAAGCGUGGGGAGCGAACAGGAUUAGAUACCCUGGUAGUCCACGCCGUAAACGGUGGGUACUAGGUGUGGGUUUCCUUCCUUGGGAUCCGUGCCGUAGCUAACGCAUUAAGUACCCCGCCUGGGGAGUACGGCCGCAAGGCUAAAACUC